Molecule: transfer RNA, 70 nt
Filed under: Xenophysogobio boulengeri
Lineage: Eukaryota; Metazoa; Chordata; Actinopteri; Cypriniformes; Gobionidae
Description: tRNA-Pro
Source: RNAcentral
CACUAGAUAGUUUAAAAUAGAAUUCCGCCUUUGGGAGUUGGGAGUGGGACAAGAAAUCUCUCUUUUCUGA